CAGCAGCCGCGGGAAUACGUAGGUGGCGAGCGUUGUCCGGAAUUAUUGGGCGUAAAGGGCUCGCAGGCGGUUUCUUAAGUCUGAUGUGAAAGCCCCCGGCUCAACCGGGGAGGGUCAUUGGAAACUGGGAAACUUGAGUGCAGAAGAGGAGAGUGGAAUUCCACGUGUAGCGGUGAAAUGCGUAGAGAUGUAGAGGAACACCAGUGGCGAAGGCGACUCUCUGGUCUGUAACUGACGCUGAGGAGCGAAAGCGUGGGGAGCGAACAGGAUUAGAGACCCCGGUAGUCCCUGUCUCUUAUAC
RNAcentral lists this ribosomal RNA (301 nucleotides) under uncultured bacterium. Its description in RNAcentral is "partial 16S ribosomal RNA". It matches the Rfam family "Bacterial small subunit ribosomal RNA", at positions 509 to 807 of the family's 1533-position model. The record is from RNAcentral.